This 490-nucleotide ribosomal RNA is filed under the name uncultured bacterium. RNAcentral's name for it is "partial 16S ribosomal RNA". It matches the Rfam family "Bacterial small subunit ribosomal RNA", at positions 30 to 507 of the family's 1533-position model. The record is from RNAcentral.
AUUGAACGCUGGCGGCAGGCCUAACACAUGCAAGUCGAAUGGUAACAGGAAACAGCUUGCUGUUUCGCUGACGAGUGGCGGACGGGUGAGUAAUGUCUGGGAAACUGCCUGAUGGAGGGGGAUAACUACUGGAAACGGUAGCUAAUACCGCAUAACGUCGCAAGACCAAAGAGGGGGACCUUCGGGCCUCUUGCCAUCAGAUGUGCCCAGAUGGGAUUAGCUAGUAGGUGGGGUAACGGCUCACCUAGGCGACGAUCCCUAGCUGGUCUGAGAGGAUGACCAGCCACACUGGAACUGAGACACGGUCCAGACUCCUACGGGAGGCAGCAGUGGGGAAUAUUGCACAAUGGGCGCAAGCCUGAUGCAGCCAUGCCGCGUGUAUGAAGAAGGCCUUCGGGUUGUAAAGUACUUUCAGCGGGGAGGAAGGGAGUAAAGUUAAUACCUUUGCUCAUUGACGUUACCCGCAGAAGAAGCACCGGCUAACUCCGUA